AAGAACGCAAUGAGGAAGAAGAGUAGUCUAAGCAGUCUUUCAGCGAGCUCCGGUUGGUGGAAGGGAGUAAGAUGAUGGUUAGAUGAAAAUCACUUCCAAGUGUUGUACUGAAAUCAUUUUUGAAAGUAAAGUACAUUGGGUACACCCAUUAUCGUGUUAGCGUAUCGCCUAGACGUAGGCCGUACGUGAAAGGUAAAUGUAGCGAUACAUUUAUGAAAACAGGGUGGUACCACGCUUAAAGCGUCCUUGAG
This 251-nucleotide non-coding RNA is filed under the name Ligilactobacillus hayakitensis. RNAcentral describes it as "Lactobacillus hayakitensis T-box sequence". It matches the Rfam family "T-box leader". From Rfam's summary of the family: Uncharged tRNA acts as the effector for transcription antitermination of genes in the T-box leader family. The record is from RNAcentral. Lineage: Bacteria; Bacillati; Bacillota; Bacilli; Lactobacillales; Lactobacillaceae.